UACGAAGGGGGCUAGCGUUGUUCGGAAUUACUGGGCGUAAAGGGCGCGUAGGCGGCUGUGCAAGUCAGGUGUGAAAGCCCUGGGCUCAACCCAGGAUGUGCACCUGAUACUGCCGAGCUUGAGUCCGGUAGGGGAGUGCGGAAUUCCCGGUGUAGCGGUGAAAUGCGCAGAUAUCAGGAGGAACACCAAUAGCGAAGGCAGCUCGCUGGGACGUUACUGACACUGAGGCGCGAAAGCGUGGGGAGCGAACAGG
This 253-nucleotide ribosomal RNA is filed under the name uncultured bacterium. Its description in RNAcentral is "partial 16S ribosomal RNA". It matches the Rfam family "Bacterial small subunit ribosomal RNA", at positions 524 to 776 of the family's 1533-position model. The record is from RNAcentral.